Molecule: ribosomal RNA, 497 nt
Filed under: uncultured bacterium
Lineage: Bacteria
Description: partial 16S ribosomal RNA
Rfam family: Bacterial small subunit ribosomal RNA
Source: RNAcentral
GACGAACGCUGGCGGCGUGCCUAAUACAUGCAAGUUGAGCGAUGAAGAUUGGUGCUUGCACCAAUUUGAAGAGCAGCGAACGGGUGAGUAACGCGUGGAUAAUCUGCCUUUGAGAGUGGGACAACAUUUGGAAACGAAUGCUAAUACCGCAUAAUAACUUUAAACAUAAGGUUUAAGAUUGAAAGAUGCAUUUGCUUUCCUCAAAGAAUAUACCGCGUUGUAUUAGCUAGUUGGUGAGGUAAAGGCUCACCAAGGCGAUGAUACAGAGCCGGACCGAGAGGGGUAUCCGCCAACUUGGGACUGAGACACGGCCCAAACUCCUACGGGAGGCAGCAGUAGGGAAUCCUCCGCAAUUGACGAAAGGCUGAACGAGGCACGCCGGGGGAGUUAAGGAGGUUCUCGGAACGGAAAACUCCGGUGGUAGAGAAGAAAGUUGGGGAGAGGGGAAAGCGCAUCAAGUGACGGUAACUACUCAGAAAGGGACGGCUAACUACGUG